CCUACGGGUGGCAGCAGUGAGGAAUAUUGGUCAAUGGACGAGAGUCUGAACCAGCCAAGUAGCGUGAAGGAUGACUGCCCUAUGGGUUGUAAACUUCUUUUAUAUGGGAAUAAAGUUCAGUACGUAUACUGUUUUGUAUGUACCCUGUGAAUAAGGCUCGGCUAACUCCGUGCCAGCAGCCGCGGUAAUAAGGAGGGUCCGAGCGUUUUCCGGAUUUAUUGGGGUUAAAGGGAGCGUAGGCGGGAGCGGAAGUCAGUUGUGAAAGUUUGCGGCUCAACCGUUAAAUUGCAGUUGAUACUGGGGGGCUUGAGUGCAGCAGAGGUAGGCGGAAUGCGUGGUGUAGCGGUGAAAUGCAUAGAUAUCACGAAGAACUCCGAUUGCGAAGGCAGCAUACUGGACUGUAACUGACGCUGAUGCACGAAAGUGUGGGUAUCAAACAGGAUUAGAUACCCGUGUAGUC
This 460-nucleotide ribosomal RNA is filed under the name uncultured bacterium. Its description in RNAcentral is "partial 16S ribosomal RNA". It matches the Rfam family "Bacterial small subunit ribosomal RNA", at positions 338 to 795 of the family's 1533-position model. The record is from RNAcentral.